UUCACUUCUUUUUUUCUAGACACAUAUAGCUAUACUUUUGAAUUUGUAUUUUAUUACUAAGAUUUAACAGGGUUUUUGAUUAGGUCGCAUAUGCGACCAGACGCAUUCCCCCCAUCGCAUAUUUGGGGGGUCGCCUAUUUUUGGGUCAACAACUGAAAGACCUUAAAAAAACCCAAUCAAACUACAAUACCUAUAAAUAUAACAUAUCUAUUAAAGUUUAAAACCCUAAGUCAAAAAAUCUAACCAUUGCCUCCCUCCCAAUACCUCCCAAAUCGGCAAAUCCAGAUCUUCCUCCUCUUCUCAUCUCGUCGGACUUGCUGUCACCUCGCCGGACCUCUCCGUUCAUCUCGCCGGACCUCUCCGUUUAGAAUGUUUAGAACUAAUACUUUUGUUGUUUUGAAUGUUUGUUUAAGAUUUUAAGAGUUUAAGUAUCAUUAAUCACUCUAUUAUUUUAAUUAUGAUUUUUAUUAUGACUUAUAAUAUCAGGGAAUUUUAUAAAAUAUAGAAAAUACAGGGGGUUUAUUGAAAAUAAAAUAAAAAAUACAUUAAAAAAAACGUCGCAUAUUGGGUCGCAUAUGCGAGCAGGCGAUCGCAUAUGCAAUAUGCGCACCCAGGCAGCGCCUGGUCGCCUGAAAUUUUUUGAGAUUUAAUGACAUAACUUGUAGUUGAAAUCAUGCAAGUAUUUAACAUACGAAUGAUUUAUAUCAUAUCUUUUUCCUUAUUUAUUUUUUAUACAAUUUUGAAGAAGAGGGAGAAUAUGCUUAUAUGAAUAUUAUUGGUGUCUUUGCUUGCCAUGACUUGUAAUUGUAAUGAAUUCUCUUAUUCUGUUGUCUGGUG
RNAcentral lists this long non-coding RNA (837 nucleotides) under Zostera marina. RNAcentral's name for it is "long non-coding RNA (ZMAR_LNC005581)". Lineage: Eukaryota; Viridiplantae; Streptophyta; Magnoliopsida; Alismatales; Zosteraceae. The record is from RNAcentral.